RNAcentral lists this long non-coding RNA (6176 nucleotides) under Panax ginseng (ginseng). RNAcentral describes it as "long non-coding RNA (PGIN_LNC013341)". The record is from RNAcentral. Lineage: Eukaryota; Viridiplantae; Streptophyta; Magnoliopsida; Apiales; Araliaceae.
AUAAAACUGACCCAAAAAUGGCGAAAGUACCUAGAAUCAAAUUGGGUUCACAAGGUCUGGAAGUAUCAGCUCAAGGACUCGGUUGUAUGGGCAUGUCCGCCUUCUACGGCCCACCCAAACCCGACUCCGAUAUGAUCCAACUCAUCCACCACGCCGUGGAGAAUGGAGUCACUUUCCUCGACACCUCCGACAUGUAUGGCCCGCAUACCCAAUGAGGUCCUACUUGGAAAGGUAUUAUUCCGGCAGCCCGGAUUAUUUGUAGUGUUUUAAAUUUCUUGAUUGAUGGAAUUUCUGAGAAAAUUGAGUUCUGUUCUGUAGGCUUUGAAGGGAGGGAUUAGGGAGAAAGUUGAAUUGGCUACAAAGUUUGGAAUCAAGUUUGAUAAUGGAACUCUGGAAAUUCGGGGCGAUCCGGCUUAUGUUCGAGCCUCCUGCGAGGCGAGCUUGAAGCGGCUUGAUGUGGAUUAUAUUGAUCUCUAUUACCAGCACCGAAUUGAUACUCGGGUUCCCAUUGAAGUCACGGUAUAAUUUCUCAACAUCUAUGUGUUAAAUACUGUUCUGUCCCAAUUUAGAUGUCCCACGCUUGAACAUUUUUCAAAGCUCCAUGUAUCAAAGUAGAGAUAUUUAUUGGUUUGACAAUUCUUCCUCAAUGAAAAUGCUACAUAUAUUGGGCCAGUAUUACUUUGUGCUCGGAUUUCAGUACAUGCAGAAUACUCUUUGAUUAUGGGGUAGGUAAAUGUUUAAUAGCCAUUAUCAAAUCAAAAAAUUACCCGAGGGUGGCCUCUUGUUGUAGUUGUACUAAUUUCAUACCACCUGCUUACUCAAUAAUGUAGCAAUUGUUUGGUGUUAACUCAAGUAUGCACUCGAAAGAAAAUUGAUAUAAAAAAAUAUAGAAAAAGUUAAAAGGAAAAUGUUGAUAUUGGUAUUCACUUGUUGAAUGAUGAAAUGUGGUAUUAUCAUGACUAUCAAUUGCUAUGACUGAUUUCAUCUACCUGUGCCCUUGUAUUUGAUAUCUCUGAAAUUGCACUCUGACAAUGAAGAAAAAAUUCGAUGGGUUAACAUGUAACUCUAGAGCCUAUCAAACUGGCUGUUAAGUAAUCUCCGGUUAAUAGUGAUUAUACAUAAACUGCUCAGCUGCCAUUGGCCAUCGAGUAAUGCAGUAAGGAUUUUUACUUUGAUAUAUGCUAUGAAAUCCACAAUUUUGCUGAUAUCUUUCAUCUACAUUCUCAAUUUGGUUUCUAUGUCCUAGUUUUCAUUUUUCCUUUUCUGAGGGUGGUAGUUAUUAAUUUUCCCCCAUUCCAUUCAAAAUGUUUGUUUCCAAGAUGGGAGAACUCAAGAAACUGGUUGAAGAGGGUAAAAUAAAAUAUGUCGGUCUAUCUGAGGCCUCAUCUUCUACUAUCAGAAGAGCGCAUGCUGUUCAUCCAAUAACAGCUGUGCAGCUGGAGUGGUCUUUGUGGUCAAGAGAUGUGGAAGUCAAUAUAAUUCCUACUUGCAGGUUUGGCAUCUUUUAUGCUUAUAAUAUGUUCAGGAAGUAAUAACAAAUUCAGAAUCUAAGUUCACCCUCUUAUGAUUGUUCAGAGAAUUAGGCAUUGGGAUUGUUGCGUAUAGUCCUCUGGGACGAGGAUUCUUGUCUUCAGGUCCAAAGAUGGUUGAGAACUUGGCUAAUGAUGAUGCCCGAAAGGUUUGUUAUUUAAUAGAAUCAAUCUUAAUUACAUUCUUGGUUCUUUUUCAUGUAGUGGUCUUGUAGUUUGAAUUUGUACUGUGUUUCUUUGUUUUCAAUUAGGGUCUACCAAGGUUCCAAACAGAGAAUCUCGAGCAUAAUAAAAACUUGUAUGAUCGGGUGAAUGAAAUGGCAUUAAAGAAAGGGUGUACUCCAUCGCAGCUAGCAUUGGCUUGGGUUCAUCACCAGGGAAGCGAUGUGUGUCCCAUACCUGGAACCACCAAGAUUGAAAAUUUCAACCACAAUAUCGGAGCUUUAUCCGCAAAGCUAACAACUGAAGACAUGGCUGAACUUUUAGUCAUUGCUUCUGCUGAUGCUGUCAAGGGUGAGAGAUAUAAGCCCGGUUUUGCCACAUAUGAAACUUCAGAAACUCCACCCUUGUCCUCAUGGAAAACUGAAUGAAUACUGGGCGUGCUGCCUUUCGCUGCACUAUGUAACAAUCUGUCAGUCUUUGAGAACAUAGUAUGGAUGUAUGCUUUGAGAGUUUUUAAUAACUGUGAUUGCCAAUAGAAAGUGUAUCCUUUUUCCUUCCCUUUUUUCAUAGUAAGAUUAAUAAUCUGCCUUCCCUUGUACAAUAAAAUUUUGAGUGACAUGUUUCUAUAAUGUUGUGAAAUAUUAAUAAAGAUACUGAUUUUCAAAUAUUUUAACAUGUAUGAAAAUUUAAUAUAUUUUAUGUAUUUUUAUUUAUUAUUUAAGAAAAUUCAGUAGCUUAAUUUAUAUUUGAUUCGGGUUUUAACUUUUUUAAUUUUAUUUAAUUUUAAAUUUUAAUUAUUUUCCUUUUUCCAAUUAGUCGUAGGAUUUAUUUACAAAAAAAACGUUUAUUUUAUCAAUUGAUAUUAUUAUAUUUUAUUCUCUUUAUUAUUCUAUGUGAAUUUAAUGGUUUAUUGCAAGUCUUUGCACACAUGUUAUUGCAAGUCUCAUGGUUCAAUGGUUAAAAAAAAUUACUUAAAAGGCUUGGAUGCACGAGGUCUUGGGAUCCAUUCUUAUCAAACGCAAGAAUGUUAAAUUUUCGUCGAAUAAAAGUGCAAACUUGUUCUUAAUUAAAGAUAGUGACUUUAAUAUCAUUUCAUCCAAGCUUGUGAAAGAUUUAAACCUUCAACCCGAACUAAUUUCAUUUCCUUUUGAGAUUUAUUGGCUCAACAAUACCUCAAUCACAGUCUCACAUUGGUGUGUUGUGCCAAUUAAAUUUAAAAAGUAUACAAUUGAGGUGGUUUGUCAUGUUUUGUCUAUGGAUAUAGCACAUAUAUUUGCUUGGUUGGUUGUGGUUGCAUGAUUUUUAUGGUAAAUAUUUUGAGUCUGAAGAUGUUUAUAGCUUUAAUUAUGAAAAGAAGAAAAUUUGUUUGUUUCCUUGCCAAUCAAAUAUGCAUACUAUUGCAAAAUCUCUAAAGCUAAAAUUUGAAUUGGAUGAGUAUGAUAUUGAUGGUCGUGAAUAGGUAGAGUACUUGAUUACGUAUUGUAAUUUUCAAAAGCUCGUUGUUACACCACAAAUUGAAGAAACUCUAUAUUUGGAAGCUCACAAGGGUAUUGUUUUGAAUGAAAGACAACAUGUGAUUGAAGUUAUUACAGUUGAAGAUUCACACGUCCUUGUUAAGUCACCUAUUAUCGAGAAGAGUAUGAAAGUCCAAGGAUGAGGAUACUACAACAGACAGUAUUGGUUCAGAAUUUGUCCCAAUGCAGGUGUUCGAGGACAUUGAAAUCAUUAAUUUUGUUGUUCUUGAAGAUUUCUUUGUCAUGCGGGUAAUUUGGAAAAUGUUUGGUAUUUUUUCAUUUAUUUUCAAGAUUAUCGUUGAAGAAGAAAAGGCAUGAAUUAUUGAUCCCACAAAGAUUGAAGAUUCGUUCUUGGUAUUUGAUACUCGCUUGCUUUAAAAUUCGAGAAUGAAUUUUUUCUAAGGAGAGAUUGAUGAAGUGGAAAAUAUCAAUAAAGAUACGGAAUUUUAUAUAUUUUAGCAUGUAUGGAAAUUUAAUAUAUUUUGUGUAUUUUUAUUUAUUACUUAGAAACAUUCAGUAGUUUAAUUAAUAUUUGGCACGUGUAUGUUUUUGAUUUUAGCUUUUCUAAUUUUAUUUAAUUUUAGAUUUUAAUUAUUUUUCUUUUUCUAAUUAAUCAUACGAAAGUAGUUUAGUAUUAUAAAUAUGCUUUUGGGGUUUAUUUACAAAACAAAUGUUUAUUUUAUCUAAUAAGAUUAUUAUCUUUGUUCUCUUCGUAAAUUCAUUUUUUUUUUUUUUAUGAAUUUAAGUAUUUAUUUUACGUUUAAACUUUAAACCUUCAAAUUAUGCUAGAGUUAAAUCAUAAAUGGGUUACAAUUUAACCACUUUUCUGAGUCAUGUUGUAAACUAUCUUUCAGUGAGAGGAAGAGAAAGAGAAUCAAUUUCUCUUGUUCCUUUUUCAACUGGCCUUUUCUUUUGUAUAGACAAGUUAAGGUUGGAAUACUUGUUUGGUAAAUUAUAUAUGGAAUUUCAUUAUUUAAGUUUCAAUGAAUACUAUGUAGAAAUUAUUUCCUCCAUUUAAAACUUAUAGAUGCAUUUUUUUUAUUUUUUACUUUUCAAAAUUAGAGAUACACUUCUCCUUUUAAAAACAAAAUAAUACCAAGUUAUUACAUUUGUUCUUAAUCGAUUGACUAUUAUUAUGCCAUAGAUACUAUUUGGAAUAAAUUUAGUUUCAUUAAAGUUAUCAUUUUAUAAAUAUAUUUCUAAUUUUACAACAGUAGUAAAAGAUUAGCUCAACAUAUUCUAGGGCAUAUCUUUGACAAUUAAAGCUAAUCAUAAUCUAAACUAAAAUUAUGUUGGAAAGAGGCUUGGAGAUGUUAUUAGUGAAGUAUGAUCUAACUUUUAAUUCAUAGAUGAUUAUAAAGUUACCUAAAAGGUAAUUGGGUGCCGGUAGGUCCGGAACGGAGGCAUAAUCAUAUUUUGAUUUCCGCUACGAAUAAUUUAGCAAAAGUAUGGAGGGAUUAUAUUUUCGGAUGAAUUAGGGUUACUUAUGUUAUUGUGUAAGGAGGGGAUACUGCAAUGCAAAUGUAUAAUGUACGAACUUUAUAAGAAAUAGUAAAAUUGUUAGUCGCCGAUCAUGGACUAGCCUAAACGUUUUGAGUGAAUGAAAUAUGUGGCAUGUUGAGGCCUACAAACCAGGGCAGGACAUACCUUGGGAGGUCCAACUUGGGGCCUUAUUGCCUUGGAGAGUAAGGACCUUUUUUUAAGAGUCCUUCUGCACAGACCGGUUUAUUGGACAGAAAAAUUAGACAUUUUCAAUUAUUUUUUUUAUUAUUAUGACUCCCAAUCCAUCCAAUCCCAUGCCAGGAGCCAGCCCAUGUGGUGAUGAUUUGCAUGCAAAUUGUAAAGCCCUUUCUUUUCUAAAAGUCUAGAUAUGCUCAUUACAUAUUAUUGUACCUAUCAUUAUAUUAUAUAUUACUAUUUAUGUAAUGUUGUCUAUAAAAUAUUAAGUAUUAAUAAAAAAUUUAAGCAACUAACUUACUAAUAUUAAAUAAACUAAUUAGUAUAUUAAUAUUAAAAUUUAAUUAACUAACUUAUUAAUAUUAAAUAGACUAACUAGUGUAAUAAUAUUAAAAUUUAAUCAACUAAAUAAACUACCUAAUGUAUUAACAAGAAAAUCACGAAUGAAUAAUUAAAAUUUUGAACUUUAUUGAUGUAUUAAUUAAAAUUAAUAUAUUACAACUUAUAAAUUACAAUAAUAAAUAAGUAAGAAUUUAUAAUUUAUUGAAUUAUUGAUGAAUAAUUAUAAAUUUAUUUUAUUUUUAUAAUUUUCUUUUGGAUUUUUGUUUGUUUCAUCAAAGUGUAGUCUUUAUUUCACAUUGUGCCACAAUUAAACAAAUAACAAAAUUAAUUUGUCUGUUUGAUAAUUUUGCAGACGAUGUUGGCAAGGUGUGGGGGCCUUGGGCCUUACGACCUUGGUGCUCACAGUUCACAAGACAAUAUUUGUUUGUUUUGUUUUGUUUUUUUAAAUAAAUGGGCCUGCCUGCAUGGAAGAUAAAAAUUUUAAUUUUGGGCCCAAAAGUCCAAAACUAAAAACAGAAAAAACUGAUUUGUAAACAACGUAAGCUCUGACGUUGUAACGAAACAAAAAUACAGUAUAUCUUUCUCUCUCCUCCUUUUGACUUCGCUGGCCUACCUACUACCAUCAUCGUCUACCUCAAAAGUGUAGCAACUUCAUAUAUAUAUAUAUAUAUAUAUAUAUACAGCAAAUCACCAACACUUCCUCCAUUACUAGUACCCUUUUAGAGGAGACAUAAUUCUGACCCAAAAAUGGCGAAAGUACCUAGAAUCAAAUUGGGUUCACAAGGCCUGGAAGUAUCAGCUCAAGGACUUGGUUGUAUGGGCAUGUCGGCCUUCUACGGCCCACCCAAACCUGACUCUGAUAUGAUCCAACUCAUCCAUCACGCCGUCCAAAGCGGCGUCACUUUUCUCGACACCUCCGACAUGUAUGGCCCGCAUACCAACGAGAUCUUAC